Long non-coding RNA from Strigops habroptila (Kakapo), 902 nucleotides. RefSeq lists it as uncharacterized. NCBI's taxonomy places the organism in Eukaryota, Metazoa, Chordata, Aves, Psittaciformes, Psittacidae. The record is from RefSeq and is a predicted model, not a curated record. The transcript has 3 exons.
AUAACCCUCGCCGCCCGGUAGCCCGGUGCAGCGGUCCCCGAGUGAGCUGCUGGGGAUGGGGGGGAGUGGCAGGAGGGUUGCUUCGGUCAAACCCCCAAGGCAGAGAAAGCUGCUCCGCUGCCGGGGCGCCAGGGGUGGCGGGCAGCGGCUCGGCUCCCGCCGCCACGUCUCAAACUUCAGGGAAACCCGUUCUGAUUCUCCCUUAUCCCCCUACCGCCCCCCUUCCCGCUAGGACCGGCCUUUUAUCCCGGCGAGGGAAAUAAAGACCUCUCAGGGAUCUAUUGACGCUUCCCGCUGAAAAGGGAUAGGGAGGGAAAAAGCAAAUUAGAGGAACAACCAGAAGAGACAAACAAACAAGAAACCGCAGAAGAAAGCGUUUGAAAGGCGGCCGACAGAUAAUCCAGGAAUGCUUCAGAUAAGGGGGGAAGAGGGGAGGCGAUACAUGCGGAGAUACCCGAAAAGUCAGAGUCUGAUGAAACGCUUGGAAGAGGGAUGGGGAAGGAAAGAAAGAAAACAAACCCCAAUCCUGUUUAAAGACCUAUUAAAGGACAGACCCAAGGGGGGGAGUGAUAGUAAAAGGAGGGGAACUACUGGGGAUUUAGGGGAGCAGAUGAAGUGCAGCGCCCGGACUUUCGGGGGCUGUUGGCCCGCUCCUGCUCCAGACAACUGGGCCGGGCCGGGGAUGAGGCCCGGGGUCACCCACUGCCCGCAGCCAGCGCCGCUCGGUCCCGAAGGCCGCCGGCAGCCCGGGGCGGGCGAUCCCGGACCGGCGGAGCGGCCCGCGAAGGAAAAGGGGGGCUCCCCGCUCCCCCCCCACCUCCCCACUGCCGGCCCUGGCGUUUGCAGAAGUUAUGGGGGUCUUUGAUUAAUUAAAUGGAGGGCUUCAUAAAAUAUUCCCAAUA